GGUUAAGCGACUAAGCGUACACGGUGGAUGCCCUGGCAGUCAGAGGCGAUGAAGGACGUGCUAAUCUGCGAUAAGCGUCGGUAAGGUGAUAUGAACCGUUAUAACCGGCGAUUUCCGAAUGGGGAAACCCAGUGUGAUUCGUCACACUAUCAUUAACUGAAUCCAUAGGUUAAUGAGGCGAACCGGGGGAACUGAAACAUCUAAGUACCCCGAGGAAAAGAAAUCAACCGAGAUUCCCCCAGUAGCGGCGAGCGAACGGGGAGCAGCCCAGAGCCUGAAUCAGUGUGUGUGUUAGUGGAAGCGUCUGGAAAGGCGUGCGAUACAGGGUGACAGCCCCGUACACAAAAAUGCACAUAUUGUGAGCUCGAUGAGUAGGGCGGGACACGUGGUAUCCUGUCUGAAUAUGGGGGGACCAUCCUCCAAGGCUAAAUACUCCUGACUGACCGAUAGUGAACCAGUACCGUGAGGGAAAGGCGAAAAGAACCCCGGCGAGGGGAGUGAAAAAGAACCUGAAACCGUGUACGUACAAGCAGUGGGAGCACGCUUAGGCGUGUGACUGCGUACCUUUUGUAUAAUGGGUCAGCGACUUAUAUUCUGUAGCAAGGUUAACCGAAUAGGGGAGCCGAAGGGAAACCGAGUCUUAACUGGGCGUUAAGUUGCAGGGUAUAGACCCGAAACCCGGUGAUCUAGCCAUGGGCAGGUUGAAGGUUGGGUAACACUAACUGGAGGACCGAACCGACUAAUGUUGAAAAAUUAGCGGAUGACUUGUGGCUGGGGGUGAAAGGCCAAUCAAACCGGGAGAUAGCUGGUUCUCCCCGAAAGCUAUUUAGGUAGCGCCUCGUGAAUUCAUCUCCGGGGGUAGAGCACUGUUUCGGCAAGGGGGUCAUCCCGACUUACCAACCCGAUGCAAACUGCGAAUACCGGAGAAUGUUAUCACGGGAGACACACGGCGGGUGCUAACGUCCGUCGUGAAGAGGGAAACAACCCAGACCGCCAGCUAAGGUCCCAAAGUCAUGGUUAAGUGGGAAACGAUGUGGGAAGGCCCAGACAGCCAGGAUGUUGGCUUAGAAGCAGCCAUCAUUUAAAGAAAGCGUAAUAGCUCACUGGUCGAGUCGGCCUGCGCGGAAGAUGUAACGGGGCUAAACCAUGCACCGAAGCUGCGGCAGCGACGCUUAUGCGUUGUUGGGUAGGGGAGCGUUCUGUAAGCCUGCGAAGGUGUGCUGUGAGGCAUGCUGGAGGUAUCAGAAGUGCGAAUGCUGACAUAAGUAACGAUAAAGCGGGUGAAAAGCCCGCUCGCCGGAAGACCAAGGGUUCCUGUCCAACGUUAAUCGGGGCAGGGUGAGUCGACCCCUAAGGCGAGGCCGAAAGGCGUAGUCGAUGGGAAACAGGUUAAUAUUCCUGUACUUGGUGUUACUGCGAAGGGGGGACGGAGAAGGCUAUGUUGGCCGGGCGACGGUUGUCCCGGUUUAAGCGUGUAGGCUGGUUUUCCAGGCAAAUCCGGAAAAUCAAGGCUGAGGCGUGAUGACGAGGCACUACGGUGCUGAAGCAACAAAUGCCCUGCUUCCAGGAAAAGCCUCUAAGCAUCAGGUAACAUCAAAUCGUACCCCAAACCGACACAGGUGGUCAGGUAGAGAAUACCAAGGCGCUUGAGAGAACUCGGGUGAAGGAACUAGGCAAAAUGGUGCCGUAACUUCGGGAGAAGGCACGCUGAUAUGUAGGUGAAGUCCCUCGCGGAUGGAGCUGAAAUCAGUCGAAGAUACCAGCUGGCUGCAACUGUUUAUUAAAAACACAGCACUGUGCAAACACGAAAGUGGACGUAUACGGUGUGACGCCUGCCCGGUGCCGGAAGGUUAAUUGAUGGGGUUAGCGCAAGCGAAGCUCUUGAUCGAAGCCCCGGUAAACGGCGGCCGUAACUAUAACGGUCCUAAGGUAGCGAAAUUCCUUGUCGGGUAAGUUCCGACCUGCACGAAUGGCGUAAUGAUGGCCAGGCUGUCUCCACCCGAGACUCAGUGAAAUUGAACUCGCUGUGAAGAUGCAGUGUACCCGCGGCAAGACGGAAAGACCCCGUGAACCUUUACUAUAGCUUGACACUGAACAUUGAGCCUUGAUGUGUAGGAUAGGUGGGAGGCUUUGAAGUGUGGACGCCAGUCUGCAUGGAGCCGACCUUGAAAUACCACCCUUUAAUGUUUGAUGUUCUAACGUUGACCCGUAAUCCGGGUUGCGGACAGUGUCUGGUGGUAGUUUGACUGGGGCGGUCUCCUCCUAAAGAGUAACGGAGGAGCACGAAGGUUGGCUAAUCCUGGUCGGACAUCAGGAGGUUAGUGCAAUGGCAUAAGCCAGCUUGACUGCGAGCGUGACGGCGCGAGCAGGUGCGAAAGCAGGUCAUAGUGAUCCGGUGGUUCUGAAUGGAAGGGCCAUCGCUCAACGGAUAAAAGGUACUCCGGGGAUAACAGGCUGAUACCGCCCAAGAGUUCAUAUCGACGGCGGUGUUUGGCACCUCGAUGUCGGCUCAUCACAUCCUGGGGCUGAAGUAGGUCCCAAGGGUAUGGCUGUUCGCCAUUUAAAGUGGUACGCGAGCUGGGUUUAGAACGUCGUGAGACAGUUCGGUCCCUAUCUGCCGUGGGCGCUGGAGAACUGAGGGGGGCUGCUCCUAGUACGAGAGGACCGGAGUGGACGCAUCACUGGUGUUCGGGUUGUCAUGCCAAUGGCACUGCCCGGUAGCUAAAUGCGGAAGAGAUAAGUGCUGAAAGCAUCUAAGCACGAAACUUGCCCCGAGAUGAGUUCUCCCUGACUCCUUGAGAGUCCUGAAGGAACGUUGAAGACGACGACGUUGAUAGGCCGGGUGUGUAAGCGCAGCGAUGCGUUGAGCUAACCGGUACUAAUGAACCGUGAGGCUUAACCUU
This 2903-nucleotide ribosomal RNA is filed under the name Escherichia coli. Its description in RNAcentral is "23S ribosomal RNA". It matches the Rfam family "Bacterial large subunit ribosomal RNA". Lineage: Bacteria; Pseudomonadati; Pseudomonadota; Gammaproteobacteria; Enterobacterales; Enterobacteriaceae. The record is from RNAcentral.